Molecule: ribosomal RNA, 2902 nt
Filed under: Klebsiella pneumoniae
Lineage: Bacteria; Pseudomonadati; Pseudomonadota; Gammaproteobacteria; Enterobacterales; Enterobacteriaceae
Description: 23S ribosomal RNA
Rfam family: Bacterial large subunit ribosomal RNA
Source: RNAcentral
GGUUAAGCGACUAAGCGUACACGGUGGAUGCCCUGGCAGUCAGAGGCGAUGAAGGACGUGCUAAUCUGCGAAAAGCGUCGGUAAGGUGAUAUGAACCGUUACAGCCGGCGAUGUCCGAAUGGGGAAACCCAGUGCAAUUCGUUGCACUAUCGUUAACUGAAUACAUAGGUUAACGAGGCGAACCGGGGGAACUGAAACAUCUAAGUACCCCGAGGAAAAGAAAUCAACCGAGAUUCCCCCAGUAGCGGCGAGCGAACGGGGAGCAGCCCAGAGUCUGAAUCAGCUUGUGUGUUAGUGGAACGGUCUGGAAAGUCCGACGGUACAGGGUGAUAGUCCCGUACACCAAAAUGCACAGGCUGUGAACUCGAAGAGUAGGGCGGGACACGUGGUAUCCUGUCUGAAUAUGGGGGGACCAUCCUCCAAGGCUAAAUACUCCUGACUGACCGAUAGUGAACCAGUACCGUGAGGGAAAGGCGAAAAGAACCCCGGCGAGGGGAGUGAAAAAGAACCUGAAACCGUGUACGUACAAGCAGUGGGAGCACCUUCGGGUGUGACUGCGUACCUUUUGUAUAAUGGGUCAGCGACUUAUAUUCUGUAGCAAGGUUAACCGUAUAGGGGAGCCGCAGGGAAACCGAGUCUUAACUGGGCGUUAAGUUGCAGGGUAUAGACCCGAAACCCGGUGAUCUAGCCAUGGGCAGGUUGAAGGUUGGGUAACACUAACUGGAGGACCGAACCGACUAAUGUUGAAAAAUUAGCGGAUGACUUGUGGCUGGGGGUGAAAGGCCAAUCAAACCGGGAGAUAGCUGGUUCUCCCCGAAAGCUAUUUAGGUAGCGCCUCGUGAAUUCAUCUUCGGGGGUAGAGCACUGUUUCGGCUAGGGGGUCAUCCCGACUUACCAACCCGAUGCAAACUACGAAUACCGAAGAAUGUUAUCACGGGAGACACACGGCGGGUGCUAACGUCCGUCGUGAAGAGGGAAACAACCCAGACCGCCAGCUAAGGUCCCAAAGUCAUGGUUAAGUGGGAAACGAUGUGGGAAGGCACAGACAGCCAGGAUGUUGGCUUAGAAGCAGCCAUCAUUUAAAGAAAGCGUAAUAGCUCACUGGUCGAGUCGGCCUGCGCGGAAGAUGUAACGGGGCUAAACCAUGCACCGAAGCUGCGGCAGCGACACGAUGUGUUGUUGGGUAGGGGAGCGUUCUGUAAGCCUGCGAAGGUGUGCUGUGAGGCAUGCUGGAGGUAUCAGAAGUGCGAAUGCUGACAUAAGUAACGAUAAAGCGGGUGAAAAGCCCGCUCGCCGGAAGACCAAGGGUUCCUGUCCAACGUUAAUCGGGGCAGGGUGAGUCGACCCCUAAGGCGAGGCCGAAAGGCGUAGUCGAUGGGAAACAGGUUAAUAUUCCUGUACUUGGUGUUACUGCGAAGGGGGGACGGAGAAGGCUAUGUUAGCCGGGCGACGGUUGUCCCGGUUUAAGCAUGUAGGCUGGUUAUCCAGGCAAAUCCGGAUAAUCAAGGCUGAGGUGUGAUGACGAGGCACUACGGUGCUGAAGUAACAAAUGCCCUGCUUCCAGGAAAAGCCUCUAAGCAUCAGGUAACAUCAAAUCGUACCCCAAACCGACACAGGUGGUCAGGUAGAGAAUACCAAGGCGCUUGAGAGAACUCGGGUGAAGGAACUAGGCAAAAUGGUGCCGUAACUUCGGGAGAAGGCACGCUGGUGUGUAGGUGAAGCCCCUGCGGGUGGAGCUGAGACCAGUCGAAGAUACCAGCUGGCUGCAACUGUUUAUUAAAAACACAGCACUGUGCAAACACGAAAGUGGACGUAUACGGUGUGACGCCUGCCCGGUGCCGGAAGGUUAAUUGAUGGGGUUAUCCGUAAGGAGAAGCUCUUGAUCGAAGCCCCGGUAAACGGCGGCCGUAACUAUAACGGUCCUAAGGUAGCGAAAUUCCUUGUCGGGUAAGUUCCGACCUGCACGAAUGGCGUAAUGAUGGCCAGGCUGUCUCCACCCGAGACUCAGUGAAAUUGAACUCGCUGUGAAGAUGCAGUGUACCCGCGGCAAGACGGAAAGACCCCGUGAACCUUUACUAUAGCUUGACACUGAACAUUGAGCCUUGAUGUGUAGGAUAGGUGGGAGGCUUUGAAGCGUGGACGCCAGUCUGCGUGGAGCCAACCUUGAAAUACCACCCUUUAAUGUUUGAUGUUCUAACGUUGGCCCCUGACCGGGGUUGCGGACAGUGUCUGGUGGGUAGUUUGACUGGGGCGGUCUCCUCCCAAAGCGUAACGGAGGAGCACGAAGGUUAGCUAAUCCUGGUCGGACAUCAGGAGGUUAGUGCAAUGGCAUAAGCUAGCUUGACUGCGAGCGUGACGGCGCGAGCAGGUGCGAAAGCAGGUCAUAGUGAUCCGGUGGUUCUGAAUGGAAGGGCCAUCGCUCAACGGAUAAAAGGUACUCCGGGGAUAACAGGCUGAUACCGCCCAAGAGUUCAUAUCGACGGCGGUGUUUGGCACCUCGAUGUCGGCUCAUCACAUCCUGGGGCUGAAGUAGGUCCCAAGGGUAUGGCUGUUCGCCAUUUAAAGUGGUACGCGAGCUGGGUUUAGAACGUCGUGAGACAGUUCGGUCCCUAUCUGCCGUGGGCGCUGGAGAAUUGAGGGGGGCUGCUCCUAGUACGAGAGGACCGGAGUGGACGCAUCACUGGUGUUCGGGUUGUCAUGCCAAUGGCACUGCCCGGUAGCUAAAUGCGGAAGAGAUAAGUGCUGAAAGCAUCUAAGCACGAAACUUGCCCCGAGAUGAGUUCUCCCUGAGACUUUAAGUCUCCUGAAGGAACGUUGAAGACGACGACGUUGAUAGGCCGGGUGUGUAAGCGCAGCGAUGCGUUGAGCUAACCGGUACUAAUGAACCGUGAGGCUUAACCUU